GACGAACGCUGGCGGCGUGCUUAACACAUGCAAGUGGAGCGACGAACCGGGGCUUGCCCCGGGGCAGAGCCGCGAACGGGUGAGUAACACGUGGGUAACCCACCCCGAUGACCGGGACAACCCGAGGAAACUCGAGCUAAUACCGGAUGUGCUCCUUGGCCGUGAGGUCAAGGCGUAAAGAUAGCUUCGGCCUUCGCAUCGGGACGGGCCCGCGGCCCAUUAGCUUGUUGGUGGGGUAACGGCUCACCAAGGCGACGAUGGUAGCUGGUCUGAGAGGACGAUCAGCCACACUGGGACUGAGAC
RNAcentral lists this ribosomal RNA (303 nucleotides) under uncultured bacterium. RNAcentral's name for it is "bacterial SSU rRNA". It matches the Rfam family "Bacterial small subunit ribosomal RNA", at positions 28 to 325 of the family's 1533-position model. The record is from RNAcentral.